Molecule: unclassified non-coding RNA, 205 nt
Filed under: Hevea brasiliensis (rubber tree)
Lineage: Eukaryota; Viridiplantae; Streptophyta; Magnoliopsida; Malpighiales; Euphorbiaceae
Source: RNAcentral
GUGGAUGGUCUUGGAACUUAACUGGCCCGAGGGCUAAAGAGAUGGCAUGCUUAUUGACAUGAAAUUUUUGGGGUUCAUCGGAUGAACUCAUUUUCCAUUUUUCUUGAUGCAGUUACGAGUUAUUUACGGUGUCCUGCUGAUUCGAAAAAAAUGCCAUCAAAUUGGAAAAUUCCUUACAUUGAUUUGAAGAUUAUUUCUUCAGAAU